UAGUGAUUAACGCGAAGAACCUUACCCAGGCUUGAACUGCGAGUGACCACUCCCGAAAGGGAGCUCCCGCAAGGGCACUUGUAGAGGUGCUGCAUGGCUGUCGUCAGCUCGUGUCGUGAGAUGUUGGGUUAAGUCCCGCAACGAGCGCAACCCUUGUUUGCUGUUGCCAUCAGGUAAUGCUGGGCACUCUGCAAAGACUGCCGGUGAUAAACCGGAGGAAGGUGGGGAUGACGUCAAGUCAGCAUGGCCUUUAUGUCUGGGGCUACACACGUGCUACAAUGGCCGAUACAAACCGUUGCAAAGCCGCAAGGUGGAGCUAAUCGGAGAAAGUCGGUCUCAGUUCGGAUAGCAGGCUGCAACUCGCCUGCUUGAAGUUGGAAUCGCUAGUAAUCGCGGAUCAGCACGCCCGCGGUGAAUACGUUCCCGGGCCUUGUCACACCCGAAUCGAAUU
This 451-nucleotide ribosomal RNA is filed under the name uncultured soil bacterium. Its description in RNAcentral is "bacterial SSU rRNA". It matches the Rfam family "Bacterial small subunit ribosomal RNA", at positions 951 to 1384 of the family's 1533-position model. The record is from RNAcentral.